CCUACGGGGGGCUGCAGUGGGGAAUAUUGGACAAUGGGCGAAAGCCUGAUCCAGCCAUGCCGCGUGUGUGAAGAAGGCCUUCGGGUUGUAAAGCACUUUCAGUGGGGAAGAAAGCCUUGGGGCUAAUACCCUCGAGGAAGGACAUCACCCACAGAAGAAGCACCGGCUAACUCCGUGCCAGCAGCCGCGGUAAUACGGAGGGUGCGAGCGUUAAUCGGAAUUACUGGGCGUAAAGCGCGCGUAGGCGGUCUGAUAAGCCGGUUGUGAAAGCCCCGGGCUCAACCUGGGAACGGCAUCCGGAACUGUCAGGCUAGAGUGCAGGAGAGGAAGGUAGAAUUCCCGGUGUAGCGGUGAAAUGCGUAGAGAUCGGGAGGAAUACCAGUGGCGAAGGCGGCCUUCUGGACUGACACUGACGCUGAGGUGCGAACGCGUGGGUAGCAAACAGGAUUAGAUACCCGAGUAGUC
This 465-nucleotide ribosomal RNA is filed under the name Vreelandella stevensii. RNAcentral's name for it is "partial 16S ribosomal RNA". It matches the Rfam family "Bacterial small subunit ribosomal RNA", at positions 338 to 795 of the family's 1533-position model. The record is from RNAcentral. Lineage: Bacteria; Pseudomonadati; Pseudomonadota; Gammaproteobacteria; Oceanospirillales; Halomonadaceae.